UACGGUGGGAGCAAGCGUUGUUCGGCUUUACUGGGCGUAAAGGGCGCGUAGGCGGUCAGCACAAGUCAGUUGUGAAAUCUCCGGGCUUAACUCGGAAAGGUCAACUGAUACUGUGCGACUAGAGUGCGGAAGGGGCAACUGGAAUUCUCGGUGUAGCGGUGAAAUGCGUAGAUAUCGAGAGGAACACCGGUGGCGAAGGCGGUCUGCUGGGCAGUUGCUGACGCUGAUGCGCGACAGCGUGGGGAGCAAACAGG
RNAcentral lists this ribosomal RNA (254 nucleotides) under uncultured bacterium. RNAcentral describes it as "partial 16S ribosomal RNA". It matches the Rfam family "Bacterial small subunit ribosomal RNA", at positions 524 to 776 of the family's 1533-position model. The record is from RNAcentral.